CCGGCGCACGGGUGAGUAACGCGUAUCCAACCUGCCUUACACUCUUGGGCAGCCUUCUGAAAGGGAGAUUAAUACAAGAUGUUAUCAUGAGUAAGCAUUUUCACAUGAUUAAAGGUUUACCGGUGUAAGAUGGGGAUGCGUUCCAUUAGAUAGUAGGCGGGGUAACGGCCCACCUAGUCUUCGAUGGAUAGGGGUUCUGAGAGGAAGGUCCCCCACAUUGGAACUGAGACACGGUCCAA
RNAcentral lists this ribosomal RNA (239 nucleotides) under uncultured bacterium. Its description in RNAcentral is "partial 16S ribosomal RNA". It matches the Rfam family "Bacterial small subunit ribosomal RNA", at positions 95 to 334 of the family's 1533-position model. The record is from RNAcentral.